RNAcentral lists this small RNA (84 nucleotides) under Tenacibaculum todarodis. Its description in RNAcentral is "Tenacibaculum sp. LPB0136 Flavo-1 RNA". It matches the Rfam family "Flavo-1 RNA". The record is from Rfam by way of RNAcentral. Lineage: Bacteria; Pseudomonadati; Bacteroidota; Flavobacteriia; Flavobacteriales; Flavobacteriaceae.
AUGUUGUUGUGCGCGUUAGCGAUUGAAACGGCAUCCUUUUUUUGAGGCACGAAAAAAAAGAUAUAGUGGAAAGCGCGACUUGGU